Molecule: long non-coding RNA, 41402 nt
Filed under: Prunus persica (peach)
Lineage: Eukaryota; Viridiplantae; Streptophyta; Magnoliopsida; Rosales; Rosaceae
Description: long non-coding RNA (PPER_LNC003808)
Source: RNAcentral
CAAUGUUAGCUUCAAGAACAUCAAGGGCACAUGUACCGACCCAGUUGCUGUGAAGCUUGCAUGCAGCCCAGGCCUGCCAUGUGAGAAUGUGGAAUUGAGUGACAUUGAUCUCAAGUAUACUGGAGACAAAGGUCCUAUUACCUCUGUGUGUUCUAAUGUCAAGCCUACAAUUACUCGCGUGGCACAGCCUCUUGCUUGUGCUACCGGCGCUGCUGCUGCUUGAUCUAACAAGCACAAACCAUGCUGCUGAUGUUUCUUCAGAGAUACAUUGGUUGUGUGCUCUUCGAUUUUGUGCUAAUUGUACUAGGUGUUUUCAUCUAAGAGGUGGAAAAUAUCUCAGUGCAUUUUUUUGUUACAUCUUAAAUGAGAUGAAUAAAUUAGUAGGUAUUACAUGAAAAUAGACAUGGGAAAGAGAAAGAAAGUUUUAUUUGAUUAAAAAAGAAUGUUAUUGGAAUAUGAAUCUUCUUUGGAUAUUUGUUUAACCAAAUUUACUCAAUUAGCCUCUUUAUUUAAUUGUUUCUGUAUGAAUGACCACCUUGACCAGUGGUGUGCUAGGAAGGGGAAGAGGGAGGGGUGAUUUAGUCCUAUGAUUUUUGUUUUUUAUGCAAGAAUAGAAGUAAAAAACUUCAAACAAAAAAGAAGAAGAAGGAUUAUUAAUUCUUGUAAUGUGUUGAGUUUAAAUGCACUUUAAAAAAGGGUAAAUUGCCGACUACCCCCUUGAACUAUCAUGCUUGUCGAAAUCUCCACCAUGAAUUAAAUUUUCAGCCAAUUUAGCCCUUGUAUUAAAUUUAUUCGCCAACUUCACCCUUGCGGUUAGCUUUUGACAAUUUCCAUCCAAAUCUUUGUUAAAAAAGUACCAUGUUAGACGUAUACUUCAGUGUUGAAUUAAAAAGAGUGCUGCUAAACGAACCCUAAAAUUAACUAAGUACACCUUACUAUUAAGGUAUUUAUUGAAUUACUAAUUUAUCAUAAUAUAAAAUGACUAAAAAGGAUAUAUUGAAUUGCGAAAUAAAUAAUUAUAAAUACACUAUAUUCAACCUUCCCUGUCUAAAUGCUAGAAUAUGAAUCUUAAAAUCAAGGUAAGAUGAUAUGAUAUUUACCGAGCUUUUACAAAUCGCUCUCAUCAAUCCUCUCCUCUCCUCUCUAGCCACAUUAAGGAAUGGUUUUUUUUCUUUUGCUUCUCGUUUUUACAACUAAUAUUCAAUCUUGCAGGAAGGAUGCCUACUUAUCAAGGAUGUCUGUUUCUAUUAUAAACUACGUGAAGGCUAUAUUAAGUCAAUGGCUAUAAACUCAUGGUAUAAACCCAGGGCAUUGAGAAUUGGGCCCGAGUGCCGCCCUUGGCUGUACUCCUUCGUUUAUAAUGGAUCUGGCAGAUGCAAUAUUUUACUAGUCUUAACUUAUAUAUCUUUCUUCUAGUUGAUGGGUUAGUAAAUUCGAUCUUCUGAGUUUCAUCUCUCUGAUAACAAGGAAGCUAAAACAAAAUCAACUAAUUAGACCAAGCCCAUAACCAAGACAUGGUAACCAUUAACAUGUGAAUCAUCGACCUACAAUCUCACUAGCACAAAACCAGGCAAAGCAUUCCAAACCAAACAGGACAGCAAUCCUGGUAUCCUCCACCCUCAGCUCCUGCCUAUUCUUCCAUAGUUGUUUGACAGAAUCAACCUCAGCGGCUUUGGUGGGUUAAGCAGCAAGUUUGGCAGCAAGGUGGGUUUGGUGUUUGUGAUAAAGUGUAUUAGGGUGUACUAGGGGUAUUUUUGGUAGUUAAAUAGGGUGUACUUAGUUAAUUUCACAUUUUGAUUAAAAUAUUAUGGUGUACUUAAAUCAUAGGGUGUACUCAGUUAAUUUUAGGGUUCGUUUAGCAGCACUCAUUAAAAAUUGAUUUUUUUUUUUCCUGUUGUUCUUCAAAGAGCUUGAAUGGGGGAGAAAUAAAUCCCGAGGGUGGGGAAAGGGGGGUGGCUGAGGGGAGAGGGGAUUCUGGUUUCUGCAAAUGGGGGUUGGGAGGAAGUGGGAGGACGGGAGAUGGAUUUGUGGGUGGUGGUUGGUGGUUGGGAUAUGGGGGCAGAAGAAAUCGGGGGAGGGGGUGCUGAUUUAGGGUUUUGCGGGGUGGGGGGAAUGGGGCAAAUUAGAAUUUAUAAAAAAGCUGAAACUAGAAAAAGAACUCCAAGAACCAGCAAAACCCAAUCCUUGUCAAGCUUUAACUUUAUGUACCACACAAAAUUGAGAACACCCAAGGUGGUUCCAACCGUGAAUUCUUCACUCAAUUAAAAACUCCAUUUUUUUUUAUAACAAAAACAUUAUCUGUAAAAUUAUAAAUACUUAUCUGCUAGUAAGCUUUAAUAUAUACUAUGUUAAUUUGGUAGAAAGGGCAUCAUAAAUUAUUUCAACUUUUAAUUACUAUAUGGAAGGAAGUAAUUGGAACUUUUAAUUAUUUCAACACAAUCGGGUGGAGGGGGGGAAGGGGGUUCUGGUUUCUGCAUGUGCAGGGAGGGAGCAAGGGGGAGUAGUCUGUCGGUGGUGGUUGGGAAAUGGGGGAGAAGAAACUGGUGGGAGGUUUUCUUUUUCUCUAUUUGAUUUUUUUUUUACAUUAUUUUCCUUAUUUUUCUUAAUUCUAUACCUUGUAAAAUUUAAAAUUUACCCUUAUAUUUGACGGGCAUUUGGAUGGAAUUAUGAAAAAGCUAACGGCAGGGGUGAAAUUGGGGAAUAAAUUUAAUACAAGGGCUAAAUUGGUUGAAAAAUUAAUUCAGGGUGGAGAUUUCGACAAGCGUGAUAGUUCAGGGGGAAUUCGAUAGUUUACCCUUAAAAAAACUUUAAAAAUUUGCCUUGAACAUUUGUUAUCUACUAUCAUCUGCAUUUUAUAUGCGUGCCGUAUUAAUCAUUCUUUCUUCUUUGGAGAUGUGGAUUAGGACAAAACAAUGUGCCAAUCCCCUUGCAAUAUGAAUCUUCUUUGGAUUUUUGUUUAACCAAAUUUAGUCAAUUAGCCUCUUUAUUUAAUUAUUUCUCGUCCAAAAUAUUUAGUACAUUGUAAAUGUUGUCUGUGAAAGCGAGCGUAUCUUAACAUCUUAGUAACUUUUUGAGUAUGCUAUCGAUUUUAGGCUAUUAAUAGUACUUGGAAAGAAGCAAGCGCAUCCACAACUUCAAACACGGUUAUGAUAGCAAAAGGAAACUACCUGGUUGGUCCAGUGAAGUUUCAAGGGCCCUGCAAAGCUCCGGUUAGUGUUCGAGUUGAAGGAGCCCUGCAGGCUCUUGUAGAGCCAGAAAAGCUCAAGUUAGAAGAUGGUUGGGUCAUUUUCCAAAAUAUUGAUGGGGUAACAGUCUCAGGAGAUGGCACUUUUGAUGGCCAAGGAUCAAUAGCGUAAUCCAAAAGUGAUUGUGCCAAAACAGGAAAAUGCAACUCACUGCCUAUAGUAAGUUUUUUAAAUUUGAAGUGGACCUUCAACAUGUGAUCAUCACCACCCCUGGUGAAAGUCUAACCACAGAUGGAAUCCACAUCCCCGUUGAUGUAUAUUUUCGAACACCUGAAAAAGAGUAUCCAAAAAUUACAAAUUAAAUUACUCACAAGUGAGGAGAGACGUGCUUCAAAUAUUAGGGUUUAGGUUUUUCACGUUCAACCGUCAUUCCCUCAUUAGCCUAACAAUGCUCGUUUUCAUCCAUGUUUAGUCGUCAUCGCCCUCCUCGACUUGACAAGGCCUAGUCAAUUUUCUUCUAUGUCGAGUCGCUACCGUCACUCCUCUCUUCGAUUCUGCUGUGCUAGCCUCGUUGUUGUCUCUCUCAUAUUCUGGGUGUUGGUUUUGUCAUUCACUUUCUCCUCGGUGCGUCAGCGUUUCUGGUGGUUGUCUUAGUAUGGUGGUUUCAGUGGGUCUGCUGCUGCUAUUGUGCCGACAGUCACCAAGUCAACGAUGACUAUGGUGCAAGCCGCUUCGUUGGGGUCGGCGGUCACGGUGGAGGUGGCUUUCCUCAUGCUCCCUCCGUCGUCCGAUCCGCGAUCUCAAGCCUUACCUUCAUGAGAAGACAGCCGUUGUCCAAAUAUUUGGCGUGGGUGGCUCUUCACCUAGGGUCUAUGGUUUUGGUCCCAAUUUUUACGGUGUUGGGCAAGGUUUUUGGCAACUAGGGUUGUUGGGUACCAUCCUUUUACCCAUAUUUCCCCUUUUUUUUUUAUCCUAUUCGGUUCGGUGUUCCGAUUUUCCUGUCCCGAUACCCACCCCUAGUUCUUAUAGAUUAAGAAUAUUGUCCAAAUGGUCAGUGCCAAGCAAAAAUCCCGUCAAAAGUUAAGAUAAACAAUGUGAGGUUUAAGAACAUUAGGGGCACUGCUGCUGAUCCUGUUGUUGUGAAGCUUGCUUGCAGCAAAGGCAUUCCACGCCAGAAUGUAUAAAUUAGUGACAUCCAUUUGACAUACAAUGGGAAAAAUGGUGCUGCCACAUCUAUUUGUACUAACGUCAAGCCUACUAAGACAGGCCAAAUUUUUCCACCUGCUUGUGGAAAGACUGUAGUUUAAUUUGCUGCAACUUUAAGGUGAUUUAAUUGCAUCUUAAAGAGAUGAUUAAAAGGAAUUAGUAGGAAUUUAGACGAAAAUAAUCUGCAGGGCGCCCUUUCCAUGCUUAAUUGGAAUGGUGGGUGGUGGUGGACUACACAUACGUAACAGUAAUGAUGUUAUCUUUUGUAUACAUGUAUUAUGGGUUUAGAUUAAUGUACUAUUGUUAUUCAUGGGAAAGAAGUAGUAGAGAGAUGUUAAAAAAAGUUUUAUUUGAUUGAAAAAGAAAGUUGUUGGAAUAUAAAGCUUUGGAAUUUUUUUUGGAACCAAAUUUACUCAAUUAUUCUCUUUAUUUAUUUAUUUCUUCUUGAAUGACCACCUCGACCAGUGGUGUGCUAGCCAGGAAGGGGUUGGAUGAUUCGUAUAUUCUUAUGUUAUAUAUUUUUUAUAUGCAAGAAUAGAAGUAAAAAACUUCAAAAGAAGAAAGAUUAUUUGAGUAAACAGAUAAAUUUAAAUGGACCAUUUUUAUUUGAGUAAACAGAUAAAUUAAAAUAGACCAUUUUUAAAAUUAAAAAAAUUUUCCUUGAACAUUUGUUAUCUACCACGAUUUGCAUUUUUUAUGCGCCAAUUAAUCAUUCUUUCUUCUUUGCAAAUGUGAGUUAGGUCAGUGUGCCAACAAUCAAAAUACCCAUGAGAGUUAAAACAGGUUUCCCGAGUGUGUUUUGGGUUUCCACAAUGAGUGCAUCCAUUCACGUUGGUCAGAGCCCUUAGUCGAGGAGGUUGUGUAGUCGGGCUUGAAGGUGAGCCAACAACCGUGACAUAGGACUGCAUCUGAAGCGGCACAACGAUAGAAGAAGGCAUCUGGCAGGGGUGACCGGUCGCUAAGGUGUAGCCGACUGGUUGGUGAGUUCCCUUGGCUGCCAAACCAGUCGCAGUCGGUGCCUGAGUGCCCAUCAUCAUAGCUUGUCGGAGAUCUCGUCGGACAUAAGAAUAUGCUUGCUCCACGGUGGGAAAUGGAGCCAUCUGAAGGACAUCACUUCAGGCCUUAUCAAGUCGGUUAUCCAAGCCAUCCAGGAAGAUAUAAGGCUCGUUUGGGAGUGCUUCUUCCCGAAGCGCUUAUGCUAGUAGCGCUUAGGACAUAAGCGCUUCUACAAAGAAGCAAUUUGUCAUUUGGAUGUCACAUUUAAAAGUGCUUUACACUACAUAAAAGCACUUUUGAUAUUUUGUUAAGUGUUUGGCUGACACAAUAAAAGCGCUUUGAUUUAUCUGGAACUCUCCUAAAUUGUGAGUCUUGUGGACUUAUGAUAUCACUAUCCAUGCGACAAACGACAUCUAAAAUUAUCCCACUGCUACAAAAAAGCAAAAAGACGACGGUAAAUCACCGUCGUGUAUUCGAUUUUUCAAUGGUCGUGGAAUCCACCGUCAUCUUUUCCCUCAUAUACCACGACGCUAAAUAACCGUCGUUGUUAAAAUAUACAACAUCAUCAACAAAUACAAAACGACGUCUUUGUACUGCAAAAAGAUCUAAAAAAGCAGUCGAGGAUGAGAAUAGACGACCAACUCUCUAAAACAACCGUCGUUAAAAAGGAAAAAUAUGACACAUAUUAAGAGAACAAGGCCGCAAGAUAGACAUACAACGACGGAAAUAAAAAAACGACGCCGUUAAAUAUCAUUUUCACGACAAUAAAAAAUUUGACGUCUUUAAAUACAUUAGAAGACGACGUUAUUGAUACCUACUACGUCGCAUAUAUAAAAACAGCCGUCGUAAAAUUAAUUUUCCACUUCGAUUUUUCGAUAAAAGAUGACGUGGAAAUAGUUGUCAGUGUCAUUAUUUACGACGUAUGUAUUUAUUGAGUAGACGUUGAAAAACGAAACAACGUCGGUUACAAAUAUAUGAGAGUCAUAUUACAAAAUUUAUACGUCAUAUUUUCAGAAACAAACAACGACGAUAAAUAUUAGACGUUGUUAAAUAAAAUAACGUCGGAAAACAAUAAAAACAGACGUGUUUAGUCUGCUAAAGUUCUAGAAAAUAGUCGAGGAUGAGAAUAGACGACCAACUCAAACAAAUCACCGUCGUUAAAAAGGAAAAAUAUGACACAUGUUAAAAGAAAAAGGCCGCAAGAUAUACAUACAAUGACGACAACUAAAAUUUUACGCCGUUAAAUAUAAUUUACACGACAAGAAAAAAUAUGACGUCUUUAAAUACAUGAGAAGACGACGUUAUUGAAAUAUACUACGUCUCUUAUUUACAAACAACCGUCGUGAAAUAAAUUUUCCACUUCGAUUUUUCUAAAAAAGAUGACGUGGAAAUAGUUGUCAGUGUCAUUAUUUACGACGUAUGUAUUUAUACAGUUGACGUUGAAAUGCGAAACAACGUCGGUGGCAUUUAUAUAGUCGACGUUGUAUUUAUAUCUAUCAUCAUUACUCACGACGCACUUAAUAAUAUAGACGACGUUGAACUUCUAAACAACGUCGGUUCCAAAUAAAUAAAAGCCGUAUUACAGAACAUAUAGACGGCGUUGAUUAUGAUGAGAGCCGUAUUACAAAUAACGUCGUUUAAUUGUUAUUAGACGGUGGUUAUAAUGAAUUUCCGUCGGAAUUCGUUUCGUUCCUCUUCGUUUAUAAAAGAACUUGCGACGUGGAAAAUGUAUGAUGACGUCGUAUUUUUUAACGUUCAGAUUAUAUAUCUCGUUUUUUAGACGUCGGUAUUAUGGGAUUGGAGUCGUGUUAUUUUGAAUUACAUGGCGGUUCUUAAUCCUUCCCCGACGUGAUAUCCUGAAUAAUUGCUUCACAAUUGCGUCGUGGUUCUUCAUUGUUACGUUGCUUUAAGACGUCGGUAAAUAUGCUGAAUAACUGGUUCACAAUAACGUCUUGUUUUAUUUGAACGUAGAAAGUGAAGAAAUCACAUUACAAUAUAUUACAAAAUUAAUGUCAUACACUGCCAAUUACAUAAGCAUCAUUCAAUCCAUAUAUCUUCACACCCAUCUCGAAUAUUUUGACCGCCUAACUCACCCACCAGUUCAUCAAAUGUGUCAACAUUUGGCAUCCCUCUAGUAAAUGGCUCACACUCAAUUAUCACAUCACCUAAGACUUCAUCACCAAUAACAUCAUUAUAUUCUCUAUUAGGCAUUGAUAACACUACCGAGUCCCGACCAACCACGAUGCAUCGGGUCGUCAACAAAAAAUAUUUGUUUGACUUGAGAAGCCAAAACAAAUUGGUCAUUCCUAUGUCCAAUUUUACUCAAAUCUACAAGGGUAAAUCCAAGUUCGUCGACUACAAGACCAGAACUAUCUAUCCAAUCACACCUAAAGACUGGGAUUGUAAACUUUUGGUAGUCAAGGUCCCAAAUUUCUUGAAUGACACCAUAGAAACCCAUAUUUGAGAGAAUUGAGUUUUUAUCCUUGGCACUAGCAACUUGCAUGGUAUGUGCAAGUAAAUAAACUCCACUAUUUUGAGUUGUCCGCACAUCAUCUUGUGCCUUGAUAUUGAAUUUAAUACUUUUAAUAAGAUAGCUCCUAUAUAAUGGCACUGCCAUGUUUGGACCAGCUGCUAGCCACCUUAAAUUUUCUGAUACGCCAUGAUUGUCUUCCUCAAGUUCACUUUGAACCUGCAAAUUAAUCAUAUCUUAAUUCAAUCUAACAUAGAAAUAAGAAGAAAAUUAAAAGAGAAAUAUGUUAUUCAACAACAUAUACCUUGAAGCGUAGCCAUUGAAUGAAAGUGCUAUUGUGCUUAUCCUGCAGCCACUUUGUUCUCUUUCUAAAUUUUGGAUAAGCAGUCUUGAUGUGAAUCAUAUGUUGCCUACAUGACACGAAAAAUUCAAGCAUUACGGUCCUAAAUAUAGAAGAUAAACAUAAGAAAUAAUUUAAAAUGGAAACUUAAAGAAUAAAGCUCAUACGUACUCGAUAUAAGGUAGGACUUCCUCCGUAUUCUCCAAGACAUAUAGAUGUGCUUGAUUCAACAGGUCCUGAUCAACUACGCUCACUGUGCAACCUGAUAAUGGCUUUGAAAGUCCCAUCUUUUGGCUUGAAGGCACUCCAACUGUACUAACAUCAGAUAAAUGCUGAGUACAACACUUUACCGCUUCUUCAGCUAUAUACCGCUCAGCAAUGCAACCUUCGGGACGAGUACGAUUCUGAACAUACCCCUUCAGCACUUUCAUAUAUCUUUCAAACGGAUACAUCCACCUAAAAUAUACUGGCCCACAUAGACGAACUUCUCUGACAAGAUGUACUACUAGAUGAACCAUGAUAUCAAAGAAUGAAGGGGGAAAGUACUUCUCAAGCAAACACAGAGUAACUACUACAUCUUCUUCCAACUUAUCUAGCUUGGAAACAUCAACAGUCUUUGCACAUAUAGCAUUGAAGAAGAAGCACAAACGAGUUAUUGCAUACCUUGCAGGCUUCUCCAAAACAGAACGAAUUGCCACAGGGAGCAAUUGUUGCAUUAAGGUAUGACAAUCAUGUGAUUUAAGGCCAAGAAGUCUUGAAUCUUGUAAAGAUACAAGAUUUUUAAUAUUUGAAGAAUAACCUUCAGGGACCUUCAUACCAUAGAAAGAAUUGCAAACCUCUCUCUUCUCUGCUCUUGACAAAUUCCAAGGCCCAGGAGGCAAACGAGUACGUCUUUCUCCAUACUCGGGUUGCAAAUCAGUUUUGACCCCCAUGUUCAAUAAAUCUAAUCGAGCAGCAAUCCCAUCUUUAUUUUUUCCAGGGAUCUCCAGCAAUGUACCAAUGAUACUAUCGCAAACAUUCUUCUCAAUGUGCAUAACAUCUAGGGCAUGCCUUACAGGAAGGUAUUUCCAAUACUCGAGUUCAAAGAAUAUUGAUUUCUUCUUCCAACAAACUCUGUCACCAUUUUCAACCAUAUGCAGCACUUCUUCUCCGGUUAAUGGCUCGGGAGGUAUGCCAUAUUCAGGUUUCCCAUUAAAAGCUGCACGUUGCCUCCUAUAUGGAUGAUUGAUUGGUAACCAUUUUCUAUGCCCAAUGUAACAAAUUUUGUGGCCAUUUUUCAACCUGUGACUAGGUGUAUCAUCGCCGCAUAUUGGACAAGCUUUAUAUCCUUUAACAACACAACCAGAUAAGUUUCCAUAGGCGGGGAAAUCAUUAAUUGUCCACAUUAAUGCAGCUCUGAGUGUAAAGUAUUCUCCAUUAUGUGCAUCAUACACUCCUCUAAUCCCAACCCACAAGGAUUUUAAAUCAUCAAUCAAAGGCUCCAAGUAGACGUCUAUAUCAUUUCCGGGUUGUUUAGGACCGGAAAUCAAUAAGGUUAACAUCAUGAACUUUCGUUUCAUGCACAGCCAUGGAGGGAGAUUAUAUGUAACUAAGAUAACCGGCCAACAACUAUAUCUGCUACUUAGAGAACUGUGGGGAUUGAAUCCAUCAGAUGAAAGAGCCAAUCUCAAGUUUCUCGUCUCAUUACCAAACUCAGGCCAUUUAUCAUCAAGAAGUUUCCAAGACGGGGAAUCCGCCGGAUGAGACAUCUGACCGUCAAUUGAUUUUCUAGCAGCAUGCCACCAAGUCAAACUCUUAGCUGUCUCAUGUGAUUGAAACAUCCUUUUAAACCUUGGAAUUGGGGGAAAAUACCACACCACCUUCGCUGGCACACCCUCUUUCAAGAUUGAAUCUUUGCCUUCCUUCCACCUUGAGAUACCACAAGUAGGACAAUUAGUUGAAUCCUCAUACUCCUUCAUAUACAAGAUGCAAUCAUUGGGGCAUGCGUGCAUUUUCUCAUAACUCAGCCCCAAUGCACACAAAGUCUUUUUAGCCUCAUACAUGGAGGUUGGUAUUGUAUUUCCUUCUGCAAGCAAAUCGCCUUGAAGUAUCAAUAAUUCUGUAAAAUAGACAUCACUCAUCCCAUGUUUUGCCUUCAAAUUAUACAACUUCACUAAUGCCGAUAACUUCGUGUACUUUCUACAACCAGGGUACACUGGUUGAUCUCCAUCCCCAAUCACAUUGGCAAACUCAUACGGAUCCGAACCAAAAUCACCAAAAUCAUUAUCAUCCAUAUCAAUUUCUUCAGACACAAAACUGUACCUACUAUGGCCAUCAUCUUCUUCAACAUUUCUACUAGCAUUAGUAGUUGCUUCCCAAGGUUCUCCGUGAAAUGUCCAAUUCUUAUAGCUUUGGUCAAUUCCAUUAAAGUAUAAGUGAUCCCUUAUAAUUCCAACCCCAAACAACUUCAAAUUAACACAUUUAACACAUGGACAACGGAUAUGUGUUGUAGUUAGAAGAUUUUCUACAGCAAAGUUCAAAAAUGCUUCCACCCCAAAUUCAUAUGCCUUCGAUCUUCUAUCCGAGUGCAUCCAUGACUUAUCCAUCUUCGACACUAUAACCUAUUAUCUAUAAUAAAGUGAAAAUACAGGCAAUGACCAUCACUAUAGCAGAUUAUACAAUGAUCUAAUCGCAAGUAAUACACAACAGAGACGACGGGUUUUAAACAAAAACAGACGUAUUUGGCAUAUAUAGACGACGGAUUUUCAACAGACGUCGUCUAUUAUAAGUAAUACAAACGACGGUUUAUGAAAAAACCGUCGUGUAUAAGUAAUACAACGACGGUAGUUUAAAAAAACCGUCGUGUAAUCGUCGUCGUAUGCCUUAAAAUUCGUCGUGUCUCAGUUUAUUUUCAAGAACACAAAACCCAUUAAGAACACAACAUAUAUAUGAAACCAAGCAAGAAACCAACAUAUACAUGAAACCAAGCAUGAAAACAAUAAAUCCAUUCCCAAUUCAACAUAACAUAGGGUGAUUAAAAGAUACGACAAAAUUAAAUCCAUUCCCAAUUCAACAUAACAGGAUAAUGUAAUCCAUGAACCCAUUAAACAGAAAAUCCAUGAACCCAUACCUAUAAGCACAUUAUUAACAGAUCGCAAAGCAUACACAUAAAACCCUUUAACAAAACAACCUAAUAUAACUCGAAUCGUUACUAGAAUCAUCACUCGAAUCCCCAUCUUCAUUAUCAGUUUCUUCCUUCGUAGGUACUAUUUGCUCCCCAUCAUUUUCUCCAUAGCGGAAAAUGACAAGAUCAAAUAAAGGUGUACUUUUGCUGGAAAUCAUUUGGAAGUUGGUGAUCUGUGUCUUUUUGUGUUGAUUUUCAGCAAAAGUACACCUUUAUUUGAUCUUGUCAUGAACCCAUUAAACAGAAAAUCCAUGAACCCAUACCUAUAAGCACAUUAUUAACAGAUCACAAAGCAUACACAUAAAACCCUUUAACAAAACAACCUAAUAUCAUUCAAUGAAUUUACAAGGGGAAGAUAGGGUUUGUACUUACAGGUUGGACGAGCUCACAGAUUCGACGGAGCCUGGAGAGUGCAACUUUUAAUUAGAGCAGAAGUGAGAGAGCGAAAUGUUAUGUCGCGCGAAAUCUGAAAAUUUUAGGUUUCAGGGUUCGAAGUAUAAGAAUAAGAGCCAAAUCUAAAAAAAUUUAGGUCGCGCGAAAAUUUUUAGAGUUCGCGCGUUUUAAAACGUCGAAAGAAAAACCAAGGCGAAAGUUCUACACGUACCGACGUAAAUUUAAUAUUCCACGACGGAAACUUCAUUUUUCGGAUUAAGAACGUAAGGCCGUUCAUUUUGAAGCUUCAUUUUUCGGAUUAAUUUUAAAUUUAUUUUGAAUUUUUUAUAUAACGACGACUGAAAAACCACGUCGUUGUUAAGAAAUUAAAGACGUUGUAAAUUAUAUAAACCGACUUACAUAUUAAAAUGACGUCGUUUAAAGCGUAAACCAUGUCGUAUGUUUUUCUGUACGACGUAAAAUAUGUAUUCCACGACGCAACCACCGUCGUUAAAAAUUAAUACCCUAAACCCAUAAAACUAAAUUAUACAAUUUAAAAAAUUAAGUUUAUAAAAGGUUUUAUGGUUUUAAAGCCUAACAUAUACCCUAGACUACCCAAAAAUUAUACUUUAAAAAUAAACCCCAAUAAAUAACAACCCUAAUCUCUAAACCCUAGACUCUAAACCCUAAACCAUAAAACUAGAAGUGAUUUUAUGACUCAUCAAAACAAUUUUGUUUUGGAUGGUCAUUUUAAAUUUUUGUUAUUCAAAAUGAAUUUUUUCAAGGUUUAUGUGGAAGAAAAUAUAUCAAUGACUUCAUAGGAGUUGACUUUUCAAUUUUCUGAUUUAUUUUAAAUUUAUUUUGAAUAUUUUGAUAUAAAAAUAAUAAAAUAUUCUUACCACAACAACAAACCACGUCGGUGUUAAUAAAUUGUAGACGUUGUAAAUUGUAAUAGACUACUAAGUCGUUAAAAUGACGUCGUUAAAAUGAGAAACCAUGGCGGCUAUUUAACUAUACGACGUAAAAUAUAUAUAUCAACGACUUAACCGCUGUCGUUACAUAAACGUCGUCGAUGAUACCCUGAACCCUUAAGAAAUUGAAGAUGUUGUAAACCAUAAACGACUCAAUUGUUCAAAGAACGUCGUCUAACUAUAUUUUUACGUCGUAUUUGUUUAAAACACGAAACAACAAAAUACGACGGUUUUUGACUUUAUUAGGUCGUUGGAAAAGUAUUACACGUCGGUUAAGCAAUUUGUAUGUUUGUUUUUUUUUUAAUUUAAGAAAACCUCAACAAAUUUUUACAUUACAUAUUAUAGAGAAAAUUUGUACAUUAUACAUAAAUAUCAAGUGUUCAAUAUUGCCCUGUUAAUAAUUUGGAAAAACAAACUCUGCCNNNNNNNNNNNNNNNNNNNNNNNNNNNNNNNNNNNNNNNNNNNNNNNNNNNNNNNNNNNNNNNNNNNNNNNNNNNNNNNNNNNNNNNNNNNNNNNNNNNNCCCUGGGCAAUACUGCAUAAACAAUGACUAUUAGGGUUUAUAAAUAAAAAGAAAUUCAAUCACAGACGACGAUAUUUUUCAUAACCGACGUAGUAUAUCCAUUCAACGACGUUAAUUUUACAUGACCGUCGUUGAUAAUACAAAAAACGACGUGAAAUGUAUGAAGGUAAUUUCUUCUUACCUUAUUCUCAAACCCCAAGGAAGGAUCCAUGAUGAUGUCCCUCAUGAAGCGCAUCACAUAAUACCCGCAUUCGACAUUGCUGGGUUGCUUUGGUGUGCCUGAGAGAGUUUUCCAAAUUACAUUUUUACGUCCUGCUCGGGCUAUGUGGGUAUUAUAUAUUUUUAAAGCACUGUUCACGAUGUUUUUCGCCUCUUCGUCGACCACACGAUGACCUGGCAGAGGAUCCAGAAAAUAGACGGUCUCCUUCUUUGCUCUUACAAUCAACAAGAUCCAAUGACGGCUGCACAAAAUUAAUAUAAAAACGACGGUUAUUUACAAAAACGACGUAUUAUAGUAUUUCACACGACGAAAUAAAGUAGAUAACGACGACAUUAUAUAUUUAUCACGACGAUAAAUAAAUACCGACGUGGUUAGUAGUUUCAAACGACUAAAUAAAAUAAAACACCGACGUGGUUAGUUUAUAAGCUGUCAUUUAUUGAAAAUCAUAAAAACAAAAUCCUAAGGAGACUAACCCUGGAUUGUAAGGCAUCAUGAAAAUCUGUUCACCGUCUGUCUUCUGAAGUCGAGCUGCUACCAGUCGUGAUCUUUCAGUUAUUGUGCCAGAGUUGGCACUAACUGUAGCAGGGUCGAUAAAGCCAACCAUGCUGCACAUAUUGGCUUGUUUCAAAACAUCGUGUAAGUACCUAAAUACAUAAAAUAAUAUAAACAAGUCAGCAAAAACAAACACGACGGUUAUGUAUAAAAAAACGACGUAUUAUAAUAUUUCACACGACGUACUGAAAUAGAUAAGGACGUUAUAAUAUAUUUAUCACGACGGUAGUUAGUUAAGACGACGUGGUUAGUUAGUUAAGACGACGCAAUAUAUAAACCAACGAGUUAUUAUCUUAGAAGUACAAACCUCAUAUAUAUAGCCAAUACAGUAGCUCCAAUUUCUUCCAUGCCUGCAAAUUGUGUAAUAUCUUCAGGCAGGAGGAAGGUAUCGCGCUCACCACCAAACACCUCCUUAUCAAUUGUAAAUUGGAGUGUCUUAUCCUCAGGCAGGAGUGUCGUUUCCACAAAACGACAAAGGGUUUUUAAAGAAGAUGGCGCCUCCAUGUUUGAAUAAGCACCAACUUCAAUAACCUGUUUAAAGAAAUAAAAAAAAUGACGUGGUAAUUCAAUAAAGACGACGGUUUAAGGAAUAAAACGUCGUCUUAAAAGGAUUUAAACGACGGUGAAAAAACUGUCGUGGUAAUUCAAUAAAGACGACGGUUUUAUUAAUAAAGCGUCGUCUGAAACCAUUUAAAUGACGGUGCAAAAACCGUCGUUUAAAUAUUUUAUUACGUCUUAAAAAAAGUCCGCCGUCUAAGUUUUAAACAAACGACGGAUUAAAUAAAAAUAUCGACGUCUGAAAUUUUGAAAAACAAAUAAAAAAGGCAAAGUUAUGUGAACAUACCUUGUCGUCAUGCUUUUCUUCAUCUUCUUUCUCCUUUUCUUCUUCCUUCUCUUCAUCUCUUUUUUCUUCUUCCUUCUCUUCAUCUGGCUGAUGUUUCCCCAUUUUGGCAGUAUCAUCCUCCAAAUGUAGGGAUCUCACAUCACCUCCAGAGCAGCCAGCUUUGUCAGACAUUGGAUUUUUGGGGCUUUGGCUAAUUCUUGGUUUAAGCAUGCUUGGAUCAAAAUUGGGAAUUAAUUGGGAAAGCUGACUCAGGAAAUGCUCCCUCUCAGCCUCUACCAAUUGUUUUGUCCUAGCCUCCAUCCUUAAGGCCUCUUCCCUUGCCUUAGCCUCCAUCUUUUUAGUCUCUUCUUGAAGGAGAACUCUUAAACUGUCCUUCAAACGGUCGUCAAAGCUUACCCUCUGUGGUUUGGGCAAAUUGAAAUAUUGCCUUGGGGAAACACCAGCACCAACUCCCCUCAGUCUGCCUGGAUGCUCGGGGCCCAAAGCCAUGGUCAGCACAUCAUUGCUGCCAUCUACUCUGACUUUGCCUUCCGAGACUUGUUUCUGCAAUUCAUCCUAAAAAAGAUAAACAAAAAAACACACGACGGUUAUUUAUGUACAAACGACGUAUUAUAUAAUUUCACACGACGCAAUAACGUAUAAACCGACGUUAUUAUAACUUAUCACGACGGUAGUUAUACCGACGUGGUUAUUUAUUUAAAACGACGAAAUGAAUAAACAACCGACGUCUUAUGCUAUAAUUAAAGAUAACAGAGUAGUGAUUCCUAUUUAGACCGUUAACGACGUUUUUAAAAAAGUUUCGACGUGGUAAUAUCAUUCACACGACGCGAAAAUGAACCACCGACGUCUUAUGCUAUAAUUACAUAAAACAUAGUAGUGAUUCCUAUUUAGACCUUUAACGAUGUUUUUAAAAACUUUUCGACGUGGUAAUAUCAUUCACACGACGAAAAAUAUAACAUACGACGUAAUAAGAAUAAUUCACAGUUUAAUAAAAAUUUAAAACAGAGUGAUAGUAGGCUUACAAUUAAUUUUGCUUUCUCUGCCACCUUUGGAUCAGGGAUGUUACCAUGUUUGUCCUGUCUAGCUCUCUUCCAUAAGGUAGAUCGAUCAAUUUCUACCCCAGGCAUGGUUUCCUCCAAUUGAUCCUCCAAUCCAGCAUAUCCUUUUCGAGACAAUCGAUGAUUGUACUCGAGUUUCUCCCUAAUCUGUGCAUGUUGAGAAUGCACAGACUCAAAAUCUUUGGAUAGCCUUGAAGCUACAAAGGCAUCCCAUUGUGCUUUCUCUAUGAAUUUAUAUGUUUCAGGGGGUUGGCUUAAUUUCUCCCUGUCAUUGGUGUAUGGAAGGAUAUAAUGCCUUGUUAGUGUAGACUUGAAAUCCUUCCAUUUCUUGGAAGCAGAAGCUAAAACAGAGGUCUUGCCCCCUUGGCCUACGACAAAAGCCAUGUCAACUGCUUCCCAAAUCUGCUCCUUUAUAUCCUUGGGGAUUUGGGACCAUUUCUUGUCCACAAGUGGGAUCCUGGAGCGUGCCAACACACCAAUAUACGACUGCAUCUCAAUAUGUGCUUGGCCAACACCUUUCCCCCUUUUAUUGUACUCAACAAUUGGCCUCAGUUUCUGAAGCUUUCUCUUCACAACACGAGGCAUUGUGCUCAUACCUCGACCAGUCUUUGAAUCAUCAGAGAUUGUUGUCUGGCUGGUUUGUUCUGUCUCAGCAGAUGAUGAAGCAAACUUCAUCUUCUUCGAAGACUUCAUCUCCUUCGAAGACUUGUCUUGAGGAGCUACCAUUCCAAGCUUCUUGGAGCCAGAAUCCUUAGUUUGUUGUUGAGAAACCAUUUUAACAGACAAAACUGCAAGUGAAAAUAUUUCAGGAGAACAUUAAGAACACAAACGACGGUAUUAAAAAAAUACGACGUAUGAUAUGAUUUUAGACGACGCAAUGAAAUAAUCUCAGACGUAAUAAAUGUUUAAAACCAUUAUUUAUAUAACGUCGUGGUAUAUAUGUUCACACGACGUCAAUAGUAAUACACCGUCGUGGUAAACUAUUAUUUAUAUAACGUCGUGGUAUUUAUGUUCAUACGACGUCAAUAGUAAUACACCGUCGUAGUAUUAACAUUCACACGACGUAAAACAAUAAGAUAUUUUGUCGUCUAUAUUAGAUACCAACCCUAGUUUCUUUUUCUUUAUAUUUUAUCAAAUAAGGGAAAAACAAAAACCAUUGUUCAGCGAAAUCAAACCUGCAAUGAAACAAGCAUAUAAAAAAAGACUAUUAUUUUAAAAACAACUUUGUCAAUUUUCAGACGACGCUAGAACAACUGACGAACCGUCGUGGUCUACCGUCGUCUUAUUUAGUUGAUGUAGUUGUCUUCAAAGUUGGAAACUUUCUCUCUUUGUCUGUAUAUUUUAUCAAACUUGGAAAGAAGUAAAAUGAUUUUGGCCAGAAAAAAGGUAAAAAGAUUUUUCAAACAAAAAACGUAUGAGCAUGCAAAACAGUAACCAAAAUAGUGAAAAUGAAAGCUUACCUUUUGCGUGCAAUGAAAGCAAGAGGAAGAUGAUCGAUGUUUAUGUUCAGAGACGACGAAGAAGACGAGAGGAAGACGAUGAGAAACUCUGACAAUGCUCUGACAAGGAAAAAAGACGAAAAGGUUUCUCUGGGAGAUUGAAAUUUUUAAUCGGGUUUGGAAACAGUGCAUGUGUAAGUCGAAAAGUUGCUUACAUAUAAAACCAUUUCAAAAAAAUAAUACGGCGGUUACAUUUAACUACGUCGUUUUUAAAUAAAACGACGCAAUAUUUUUCAUUCGACGUGGAAUCAUUUCAUUUAACGUCGUUAGGUUUAAUAUAACCGACGUGGAUUUUAAUUUUUAAAUUAUGAAUAGAAUUUUUUUUCCCGUGACCUUUCAGUUUAUUUUUCAAUUACAGUGCGUUAUAAAUAGAGUUUUUUUUCCGGAGAAAAUUUAAAACGAAGGAAAUUAAUAUUCUGCAAUAUGUAAAGUUUCUUUUUUGGAUGACAGAUUUAAAUAAAAUAAGAAUAUAAAAACAACAAAUGUGUAAGUCAAGUAGACGAAAAGUUGCUUACAUAUAAAACCAUUUCAAAAAAAUAAUACGGCGGUUACAUAUAACUACGACGUAUAAAUUACAAAAUACGACGGUACAUUUAACUUCGGACGUGGUAAAUAAAUACGACAGUAGUUUGUAGGUACCGUCGUAGUAAACUCAAAAAUUAAAGUACAUAAGUAAUAACUCGCGUCAUGGUAGAUUAUUUAACACGUCGUUUUUAUUAAUUUACCGACGUGGAUUUCUGUAAUAUACGUCGAUCAUACCGACGUUGAUUGUACAAUUUAAACGGCGGUUUUUUUUGUAAGGACCGCCGUUGGUUUUAAAAAUUUAUUCUAUAAAUUUGUCGCUUUCAUUCAUUUUCGGUUUACAUUUAAGGUUCCAAGUUCUUCCUCUCUUAGUCUCUCAUGUCUCAAAGACAAUAAUUUGGAUGUUUUCUCAAAGAGAAAUUGAGCUUACUCGCAUCAAAUAUAUGUCCACAAGAAGAAGCUUGUCAACUAGCCUUCUCACUUCCUUGAUCAAGCCUGAUAGGACACUUAGUGCUUCUGAAUACUCCUUGCUUUCCAUCAAAAGAGAUGCAAGCCUGGCCUCCACUCGCUGUCGAAGGAAAGUUCGCUUCUCAGGGAAAUCUGAAGAUCAGAUGUGCCUGAUCCUCUGCUUGAUUUUCUUGCCUAAGAAGAUCCGUCGGAUUUAUUGUGAUAGCCUCUUCCUUUAUCCGUAGAGCUUCAGAAGAAGAAGAUGGGUUUCAAGAAUGCGAUAAAGAAUAGAAAUGGCUUCAGAUGGCCUCUAAAGCAUGAGCAAUUGAAUCAGUAGUUUCUGGGAGAUAUGAUGAAGACAUUGUCAAUGCUUUGAACUACACAAGUCCUGCAGAAAGAUAUGUUAAAGAAACUGAAACAACGGCGGUUUUCUGUUCUACCGUCGUCUUUUCUCGUCGUCUAUAUUAGGGUAAGAUGGCGGUAGAUUUAUAAUUACCGACGUAGAUUAUUUUGUUAAACGUCGUUAAGUGUACUACAACGGACGUGGAUUUUAUUUUUAAAUUAUAAAUAGAGUUUUUUUUCCCGUAUUCUUUCAGUUUUAGUUUUCAAUUACAAAGCGUGAUAAAUAGAUUUUUCUUUCCCGAGGAAAUUUAAAAUGAGGGAAAUUAAUGUUCUAGAAUUUGUAAACUAAACGACGCAAUAUUUGCAAAUCUGUGUCAUCUGUUAAGAUUAUGAUGUGGAACAAAGUUCCAUCUGGUAAGAUUUCGUAACCCUUGGGAUCUCAGACAAAUCUGAUUAUGUCGGCGGUGUUCUAUAUAAACCGUCGUGGUUAUUUCAAUUCUUGUCAUUAAGUAGAUCUACCGACGUAGGAUAAGAAAAUCAAAGAAAAAAAUUGUUAACAAAAAUUCUUAUUAAGACGACCGUUAAAAUUAAAGGUACGACGUAUAAAAUGAAUAAAUACGACGUUAAAUUUUAUUGUACGAUUUAAAGAUAACGUCGUAGAACUAUACGAGAAUGACGUCGAUAUAUUUAUAUUUUCCGUCGUUGUAAAUUAAUUUAAUACGGCGAUAUUUUGUAUUUUAAAGCCGUGGAUUUGUUUGUAAUUAUACGGCGUCUUAUACGAAAAUCUCGUCGUGUUAUUUUAUGAGUAAAAACGGCAGUUUUUAUUGAAAUCGUCGUCUUUACUUUCUACGUCGGUCGAUUCAUAACUUCUGCCGUUCUUUGUUGGCAUUGAUUUUACACUGCAGAAAUCUGUUUCAAAUAGACGUCGGUUGUUUAAUUAUGUACGUCGUUGUUUUUGAACAGCCAUUUGAAACUCCAUUUUUUAGUUGUCUAAGGUUGUAUUACACGACGGUGUUUCUAGAACCGUCGUCUUUUUAUAAACCACGACGGUUUUCACUUAGACCGUCGUUGUUUUCUGGUCGUCUUUUUCACUUUUUGUAGUAGUGUCCCCAACCCCUUGACACCAUCCCCACCAGAAUGUUGAAAUUGGACCAUUCUAUUAGUGAAAGCACUGAAAAAUGCAAUGCAUUGCCAUAGUGCAACCCAGAACACAGCUUCUUUCUAAAGUCGAUACAAAUUGAGAGGGAGUGCUUGGUGGCACUCUUUGGGGGUUUUGAGCGCGCAAUGCUCGUCCAAAACACUGCAGCCAACAAAUCAAAAGGGUUGGCUUCAGGGCAAGUUUUGUGGAUUUGUGAGAGGCCUUGCUUGAUCAUUGCACUGGAGAAUUUGAAAGUGGUUGUGCUCAUUUUCUUUUCUGGUAAAGGGGUCUUUGCUGCCAUAGACUUGGCUUCAUAAUAAGCCUCUGCUGAUUUUGUUUUUAUUAUGUCUUGAUCAACGGGUCUGCCUCCGAGGGCUGAUGACUCCCCGACGAGAAGCAGGUGGGCAAAUUCAUUUAUCUCCAAAACCAGGACUGAUUCUUAUGUUAAUGCUUUUUUAAUCAAGUUUGGUGCUACAUAUAAUAAUGUUUGUUUUCAAUAAAAUCGAGCACACAAUAUUAUAUAAGCAAGAGGCAUACAAGAAUGCAGAACUCAUCUCCAUUCUCUAGCAAGAAAGAGAGAGGAAAAAAGAAAGAAAGGGUAUUUUGGCAUUUAAAAAAAUUAAAUAUAGGUAUUUUCGGUAUUUUAAAAGUUUCAUUAAAGGGAGCCAAGUGCUUCCCGUGUUUUUGUGCUGCAGCCCUUUUAAGAAGAAGCACCUUUCAAGUGCUUCUUCCAAAACCACUCCAAGUGCUUUUGGAUCUCACCCAAAGCACUUUUGCAAUUUUUGCCAAACACCAUUUUUAAAAGAUAGAAGCGCUUUUCGUUGCUCCAAAAGCACUCCCAAACGAGCCUAUAAACACAGUCUUCCUAGAGAAUGUCGUUGUACUGUUGGAUAUCAGAGUCACACUACAUCCUACUCGGACGACGGAAGUGUAUGUCUUGCCACAAGCCUUGAAGAUUAUUGUAAUAAGUUUCAAUCGAGCCACCUGCUUGUCGCAAUCGUUGACUUUGCUGUUUAAGGUCGUACACCUGAGGGGUGUACGUGCCAUCAAAGUAGAUCGUGGCAAUCGCAUCCCAUAUUGUUUUUGCCGCAGGAAAUCAAAUAAAGGUGCUAAUCAAGCGAGGGUCCAAAGAAUUGAUUAGCCAGCCUUUCACAACUGUGUUUUGGGUGCGCCAUCAGUUGAAACUCGGGUUGGUUUGAGUAGGUGUCCCAACUUGUCUUUGCCGGCAACAUACAUCUCGACAACUUGGGACCAAAGGGGGUAGUUGGAGCCAUCCAACUUGAUUCCAAUAUGUGCUGAAGCUUCAUAGGUAAUAGUUGGGGUCGGGUAUACCAUGCUAAAAUAUGAGAACCUAUGAGUGAAUAUUGUUUGUGGGAAUUUUCUGUGUAUUCUUGUCCAUGUAGGAGGCCAUAUUUAUAGUACAAUAUAUAUCCUUGUAGGUUAAGGAACGUAGUAACCCCUAAUUCAAUUUACAGUAGGAAAUCAUGAAUUAAAGUGAAUCAAUUACAUUUAAUAUAGGAAUUUUUGGCUUGUGAGAAAAAUAAAUGCAGGUCCACAAGUCAUGCGAAUAUAUACAACCAUACUAUUUUUCAAAUUUGUAUCAACUUUCUCACAUGGAAGAUGUCUACAACUUUUACAAAUAUUAAUGAGUGUCAUUAGCUAAAUAAUAUACAGAUAGAAGUUGCACAAAAACAUCGUUUGCAACUAAUUGAUGGCUCUUCCAACGAAAAAGCUUAUAGUUAGAGGGGAAAAGAAACAAAAAAGCUUACCUUGGACAAAAGUAGAUAGUAAUUUGGUUUGAUAAUGUUAGUGGUGCGGUUGUAAGCUUCCAACCGAACAAUAUAUAAAUUGGGUCGAAACGAAAAUGGAGUACAUAAAACUUAACCCACUUUUAAUCAUUCUCAACAUCACCAUUUACUUGAUCCACCAAACAAGGCUCCUUCUGUUCCAUUAUUCGAAAUCUCAAACUUGACAUAACCACAAUCAACCCUCAAUAGCAUUCUCUCUCUCUCUCUCUCUCUCUCUCUCUCUCUCUCUCUCUCUCUCUCUCUCUCAAUCUGUUCCACCCAAAAACCAUGCCUUGCUAAAUAAGAAUUCAAUAGUGAGGGCCUUAUAUCUAAGGCCCUUAUAUGAUCACUUAGCUGUUAGAUCAAAUUGGUUAGCCGUUGGAUCAAAUUGGUUAGUUUGAUCUAACGGUUAAGAGAUAUGACUUCAUGGCUUUAAUUUGAGUUGUGGGUCCAGUCAAACAAUAUGGGUAGAAUAUUUUUCAGGUUGUAUUUCAUUCUCCAAAAGAAGGUAUUUAUAGUAUAAGGAUGUAACCCUAGUAGGGUCAAACUAGAAAACAAGAUAAAGACCUAAUUACACAAUAUCUGUACAAAAAGGAAAGAAAUAUAAUCCUAAUAAACUGUGAAAUAAAUAUCCUAAUUAAGCUAGGAUCUCGCUAACACUCCCUCUCAAGUUGGAGCAAAGAUGUCACGUAUGCCCAACUUGUCAAGCGUGUUGAGAAAGGCCGUAGUAGACAUAGUUUUCGUAAGAACAUCUGCUAGUUGAUACUCGGAUGAUAUAAACGGAAAAGAAAUAAUUUCAGCAUCCAAUUUCUCUUUAACAAAAUGUCGAUCAACCUCCACGUGCUUUGUACGAUCAUGUUGCAUAGGGUUAUGCGCAAUUGCAGUUGCAGCUUUAUUAUCACAAUACAAAUCCAUGGGUUUAGGGGAAGAGAGAGAGAGUGUGUGUGAUGGUUGUGGGGUGGUGGCUGUGGGAAGGUGAGUUGUUGAGAGAGAGAUGGAGACUGCGAUGGAUAAAUGGGUGGUCGUGGGUUUGGGGGUGUGUUGUGAAAGGGAAGGCAACGACGGUGGGGAAGAGGGAUGGGUUGCGAAUUAGUCUUGGGGGUGAGUUACAGGUGGGGAAGGGGUGAGUUGCAGGUGGGAAAUGGGUAGUCAGGUUGGGGAAGAAAAAGAGAGAGGGGAUAGGGGAUCUGUAGGUAGGAUAGGUUUUUGUUUUUGUUCCUUUUUCUUUAAUUUUUUCUAAAAAAAUAAAUUUAUUUUUAAUGUUUUAACUGAAAAUUAGAUGAAAUGUUAAUGAUUUAGACGGUAGGGGGGAAAUUGGUGAAAAAGUUCAUAUCCUUAAUUUUGUAAAAAAAAAAAGGAUAGUGGGUCAAUUAAAACCAAGGUACAAGUUCAAGGGGCAAAUCACUAGUACACCCUUCUUAAUACAAUACCCUAUAAAAUGUCAAAUUUACCCUUAUAUUUGACAGGCAUUUGGAUGGAAUUGUAAAAAAGCCAACAGCAGGGGUGAAAUUGGCGAAUAAAUUUAUUACAAGGGCUAAAUUGGCUGAAAAAUUAAUUCAGGGUGGAGAUUUUGACAAGCAUAAUAGUUCAGGGGGGAUUCGAAAGUUUACCCUUAAAAAAAGUUAAAAAUUUGCCCUGAACAUUUGUUAUCUACUAUCAUUUGCAUUUUUUAUGCACGCCAUAUUAAUGAUUCUUUCUUCUUUGUAGAUGUGGAUUGGGACAAAACAAUGUGCCCAUAACCUUGCAAUAUGAAUCUUCUUUGGAUAUUUGUUUAACCAAAUUUACUAAAUUAGCCUCUUUAUUUAAUUAUUUCUCUUCUCAAAUAUUUAGUACAUUGUAAAUGUUGUUUGUGAAUGCGAGCGUAUAUCUUGACAUCUUAGUAACUUUUUGAGUAUGCUAUCGAUUUUAGGCUAUAAAUAGUGCUUGGAAAGAAGCAUGCGCAUCCACAACUCCGAACAUGGUUGUGAUAGCAAAAGGAAACUACCUGGCUGGUGCAGUGAAGUUUCAAGGGCCCUGCAAAGCGCCGGUUAGCGUUCGAGUUAAAGGAACCCUGCAGGCUCUUGCAGAGCCAGAAAAGCUCAAGUCACAAGAUGGUUGGGUCGUUUUCCAAAAUAUUGAUGGGUUAACAGUCUCAGGAGGUGGCACUUUUGAUGGCCAAGGAUCAAUAGCUUAAUCCAAAAAUGAUUAUGCCAAAACUGGAAAAUGCAACUCACUGCCAAUAUUAAGUUUUUUAAAUUUGAAGUGCACGUUUUUAUUUAUUUAUCAAUCUUGUGUGCUAGAAACGGAGGCUAACAAACAGAGUUUGCUCAAUUGGGUUCCUUGAAUGCAGAACAUAAGAUUCACAGGGCUCACCAAUUCACACAUUCAAGACAUAACAUCCUUGAACAGCAAGCUGUUUCACAUAAACGUCAUAAACUGCAAAAAUGUGACACUUGAACAUGUGAUCAUCACCACCCCUGGUAAAGCAUGCCUUAGAUAAGGCCCUCACUCAGUUCUUAUAAACGAGGCUAGGUCCCUUAACUUUUCAAUGUGAAUAUAAAACGAAUUUUCAAUAGUUAUUUCUCUUGUCACCACUGCUUUGUUACAACUUAUGGUCAAGAAUUUAUUAGUUUGAUUAGUGCGUUAGGAAACCAUUUUUGGUUUAUGAAAAAUAAAUUUUGUGUGUGUAUUUUUUUUUUAAUCUUUGCACCAAAUUGGAUGACAACAGGUUUAGUACUUUUGGUUUAUGAGUCACCCAUGUCAUAAAUCUUCUCUUUCUAAUCUGACAUAGUCUUGGAAGAAAAAAUCUUUUGCCCAAAUUGGAAACUGAGCGAAGAGCCAUUGUAGGUAAUUCAUGUUCUAAAGCUGAGCAGCUUAAUUAAUUACUAAUUAUAGGAUGGUUGACCAACAUUCAUGUUCUAAAGUGCGAGAAAGUUGAAUUCAACGGAUUUACCGUCUCAGCACCUAAGGAAAGCAUGAACACAGAUGGAAUUCACAUCGGUCGUUCAACUGGGAUCAACAUCACUGCCACAACCAUCGGAACUGGGGAUGAUUGUAUUUCGAUCGGUGACGGUACCAAGGACCUCACCGUGACCAACGUUACUUGCGGGCCUGGCCACGGCAUAGCCAUCGGGAGCCUUGGAAGGUACCCAAAGGAAGAACCCGUGUCCGGCAUCAAUAUUAAGAAAUGCGCACCUUGACUGAUACAACGAAUGGUGUGAGGAUCAAAACAUGGCAUGCUUCCCCAAAAGAUAGCACUGCCUCGGAUAUUCACUUUGAGGAUAUUACCAUGGUUAAUGUUGGUAACCCUAUCCUCAUUGACAAAGAGUACUGCCCAUGGAACGAAUGCAAAAAAGGGGUAUCUAUCUAUAACAAUUUAUUAACACCGUAUAUAUGUUCCUUGUUAAUCAAGUCAUCAUUUACUUAAUCUUUAAAAAGUUUUAAAUUAAUCAAUUAAUGAAUGGUUUUGUGUAGGUUCCUUCCAAAGUUAAGAUCAGCAAUGUUAGCUUCAAGAACAUCAAGGGCACAUGUACUGACCCAGUUGCUGUGAAGCUUGCAUGCAGCCCAGGCCUGCCAUGUGAGAAUGUGGAAUUAUGUGACAUUGAUCUCAAGUACACUGGAGACAAAGGUCCUAUUACCUUUGUGUGUUCUAAUGUCAAGCCGACAAUUACUCGCGUGGCACAACCUCUUGCUUGCGCUACUAUCAGUGCUGCUCCUGCUCCUGCUUGAUCUAACAAGCACAAACCAUGCUGCUGAUGUUUCUUCAGAGAUACAUUGGUGUUGUGCUCUUCGAUUUUGUGCUAAGUGUACUUGGUGUUUUCAUCUAAGAAGGGGAAAAUAUCUCAGUGCUGAUCACGAAGGCUGGGUUCAGGCCAACUGCUUGAAGGCUUCUGAAAGGGGCACUUUGUCAGUGCUAUGCCUACUUCUCAGAAGUCGUGGAGGAAUCGGGGGUGCUUUUGUCCGGCGAUUGGGUGUCUCCAUCGGGACAGCCCGUCCGUUUCCACAUCCCUACGACCUUCCAAAUUGUCGGUAGGUCAGAUUACCGAUUGGUAGGUGGCCAAUUGCUUUCUUUAUGAUUUAAACCUUAUUUUGUUUCUGUUUUUGUAGGCAAACAAAAGCAACCGAGCCCCACGUAAUCAGAGAUUCAGCAGGUUGAUAGAGUUAGGUUGAAAGUCCCUACCAUUGGGAGGGUGUACCCCAAGUUUUUGUUCACCGAGAACCUUAUCGAAGCCAAACUUGCCAGCCAUGUUGAGAGUAAGUGGACUUGUUUUUGCGUUCUCAUUCAUAUUAUAUCAAUGCCUUACCGAUCUCCUUCUUGUGCAGUGACGGAUGCCAGAAGAGCCGCCAAAGCCAAGAGGAUGAAUGAGUCCUCAAAGAGGCGCCUCAUGAUGGGCAUUGAACGGAAGAAAAGAUUCGGCAUGUGGAGGCAGUGCCAGUUCCGUCGGCUGAGGUUGAUCUAGAGGAUUAGACCCUUGCCGACCGUCUUCGGCAGCUCAACGUCGGGUCGGAGCCCAGCGGUGCAGCCGAGGCUAAUUUGGCAUCGAGAAGAGUGCUAACCACCGAGGCCGCUGCUUUCUAGGCAGCCAGAAAAAGGCCGUUUAUGGUAGACCUUGAGGCAGAGCUAGUGCCAAAGCGCGGUCGGCAGAUGGAGGAGCAGAGGGCUGUCUUGGCUGUUGAGGACGAUGACAAUCCUGCCGAUCCGGUCACCCUCACAUGCCAAUCGAAGACACUCCAAUUUGCGAAUCAUGUGAUCCUUGGUUUGCAAAUGGAGUUGUCGGAGAUAGAGGAGCUACCGAAGAAACUCCUUCGGGAAGAAGCCGGUCGAGCCUUCCGUCUCCAGGCCUCCGUAAGUUUUUGUCUUGUUUUUAUUUCCCACUGUGCCACUGUUGGCUUCUUAUUGUGCUGACCUUUUGCUUUGCUUUCCAGGCGUCGAUGGACAUGUGACUGUGCAUGAAGCGGGCCAUCGUCGCUGCCGAGUGUGCCAAGAAAGCAUACGACGAUGGCUGUGCCAAAGUAGCCGAGGCAGGCAAGGCUCUCCAGGACCACGCUCACAUGCUGAAGGAUAAGCAGGCUACCAAACGGCAAGUUCAGGCUUCUGAGGCCAAACUGGGAGAGAUGAGAGUGGCUCUUGGGGCUGCGAUGAUGGCGGCAAGGGAUGCCGAGGCGGCUAAGGAGGCGGUGUAGGUGGCCUUGGAGGAUUUCGAGCAUUCUAAGGUGGCAUAAAUUGAAGCUGUUGUUCGGGAGGGUUCCAUGUUGCUGUGAGAGGUUACCAUUCAUCAGAAGAGUUCACCGUCAUGCUAGACAGGGAAGUGGGCUCGGAGAUGGCUGAUCUGCUCUACAGAUUCAAACGGUACAACCCCGGGCAGAAGCUGAACUUGAACUUUAUUGCCGAUCCUCCUCCCCUUCCUGAAGGUAUUACCAAGAGAUGAUCGAGGACUAUGAGGGGGAGGACGCUCCGGAAGAAGCCUGUGCUGUCGGGGUCCCCGCUACUACCGACGUUGCGAAUGAGGAGGCUACCGCUUGAGCUUUAGCCUCAUAGCUUUCUUUAUAUAUUUUGUAUCUGCCAUAAGGCAGCUCUUCUGAACACGUUGAUGCCGAGGGCAUCUUUUAAUUUUGUUUAAUAACUUGUCUAACGACCAAGUGAUCACACUGUCGGUAGAUUUUAGAGUUUAAUCAUCUUAAUUGCUGUGGGCUAAAUGAAAGAUUGACUGCCAAGUAACUUUCCAACGGUAAGGAGACUUAAGUGUUUUUCAUUGACGAAGGCUAAUAAAGGAUCUACUUGCAAUUGGCAAGUGCAGGUAGGAUCGGUAGUACCGAACUCCAGCUUAUCUGCUGCCGUAGGCUAAGUAAAUGCUUAAUUUAUAAGCGUAGGGUAAUACAUGACCGAUAGUCUCUACCGUAUCUUUUUAAUUAACGAAAAAUAAAUAAACACACCGAAGGUUGUGAAUAUGUAUAAGCCGAAGGUUUUUUCAUUAACCGUUGCCGAAGGCAUGAAUACAGGUUCAUUGUAUUACAAUUUCGCCCUACCGUAGGCUAGGUGACUUCAUUUAAAAUAGUAUUUCAAAUGAUCUACGUUCAUAGGAUGACCGAGGGUUUUGCCGUUGGAGUCUCUUAGCCGAUAGGUUCUCGAUCGAAGGAUGCCGAUAAUCUCAUAAGGUCCCUCCCAGGAAGGUCCGAGUGUCCCUUCCGUAGGAUUCUUGGUUGCCAGAAAGACUUUUUGCAUGACCCAGUCCCCAAUUCAGAAAGAGCAGGUUCUGAGCCUUAAGUCGUAAUACUGAGAGACGUGCUGUUUGUAUGCUUCAUUCCGAAGGUUGGCUUGCGCUCGACGUUCUUCGAUUAAGUCGAGGCUUAGUGCGAGGGCUUCCUCGUUUGUCUUCGGAGUGAAGCUUGCCUUUCGGUAGAGGGCUUGCCGAUCUCCACGGGGACCACGGCUUUAGAGCCGAAGGCGAGAGAAAAAGGGGUUUCUCUGGUUAACGUUCGGUAGGAUGUCCGAAUGGCCCAUAGUGCUUCCAGAAGUUUCCUUGGCCAAGUUCCCUUGGCUUUGUCGAGCUGCCGUUUUAGCAGUUUCUUAAUGAUUUUGUUUAUUGCUUCGACCUGAUCGUUCGACUGGGGGUGAGUUGGCGAAGCGAAGAACAAAUUGAUCUUGAGGCGAGUGUAGAAUUCCCUAAAGAGUUUCGAGUCAAACUGCCUGCCAUUAUCGGUGAUGAUUGCAUAGGGGACAUCGAAUUGGCAGCAAAUGUGAGUCCAGAUGAAGUCUUCCAUCCUAGCUGCCGUUAUGGCUGCCAGAGCUUCGACCUCCACCUAUUUGGUGAAAUAGUCCACAGCAACCACGACAUACUUGACCUGGCUUUUGCCUUGCGGCAUUGGACCGAUCAAGUCCAGUCUCCAUUGGGCGAAAGGCCACGGGCUUACGAUCGGUGUUAAAGGCACGGCAGGGAUGUGAGGUAUGUUGCAGAAGCGUUGACAUUUGUCGCACCUCUUUACUAGUGUGUUUGCGUCCUGGUGCAUAGUCGGCCAAUAAUACCAUUGUCGAAAGGCCUUAUGUGCGAGCGAUCGAGAUCCAGAAUGGUUGCCACAUACGCCCCCGUGGAUUUCAAGAAGGACGUAGUCCCAUUUUUUCGGUGAUGAUGUGUUUCAGAUACAGUGUAAUAUAGGUGCGUUUGUAAAGGACGUCGUUGAUAACUGUGUAUCUUGCCGAUCGGUACUGCAGCUUUUGGGCCUGUGACUUGUCGGAGGGCAGUGUACCGUUUGUUAGGAGACCGUAGAUGAGAGACAUCCACUUGUUUUCGUACCGUACGGUACAUACCUCCGAAGUUGUCGUACUAGCUUGAGAUAGGAUCUCCACCGGCACCUUUCUGCCAACCUUGUUAUUGAUUGUCGAAGCUAGUCAUGCCAGUGCAUCGGCAUGACUGUUUUUCAUCCUGGGGAUUUGCCGAAUCUCAUAAGCCUGAAAUGCUUUGAGGAGUCAGUGUGUGGUUGAUAGGUAGGCUGUCAUGGAGGCAUCCCUAGCUGCGAAGUCUGCCGUUAUGUGAUUCACUAUGAGCUGGGAGUCACUAUGGAUGUUGAUUUGUUUUGCACUCAUGAUCUUGUCUAGCCGAAGGCCGGCCAAGAGAGCUUGAUAUUCAGCUUCGUUGUUGGAGGUUCUGAAGUUAUAUCGGAGGGCAUAUUCGACCUUGGCUCUGUCUGGAGUAGUUAACACCAGACCAGCUCCACAACCUUGUUCAUUUGCCGAGCCGUCGACAUGCAGAAUCCAUAUGGGAACAGAAGGGUGGAAGUGUUCGGCGGGUUGUGCCUGUGGUGUUGGGGUUUCGUCCCUGGGGUCGUAAAUGGGCCCGUUACCGUUCAGUGCCCCCAAGACAAACAUGGUCUCCUUGGGAGGUUUAGUGGCUACUGACCUUAGUGCCGUCGCAUAGCAUGUUCGUGCACUGAGUUGAUCUCCUCUGACAGCGCCUAUGCCGUUGUACGUUGGGAAUUUCAUCAACAACAUAUGGGGGGACAUGUGUGCCUUGAUUCUGGUAAGCGUCGUUCGUCCGACUAUGACGUUAUAUGCCGUUGGGUAGUUGACGAUAAGAAAUUGGUCAUAUGUCAUUGUUUUCCAAGGGGCAACACCGAAGGCGAUGGGUAGACUGACACUGCCGACUGGCUGGACCAGAUCCCUGGAGAAACUAAGUAGUGGUGUUAUCUGCCGAUUGACCUGGCUAUCGGCUACUCCCAUUCCUCUGAAAGCAUCGGCGAAAAUUACAUUUACCGAACUCCAGUGUCGAUCAGUACCCGUCCCACAUCGUAGUCAGCGAUUUCAACUCGAAUGAUCAUUGGGUCAUCAUGGGGGUAAAUGAUCCCUUCUUCCUCUUCACAAAAUGUGAUGGGUUCCCACCCUACCUUUGGAACCUUGCGGUGUCGAUCAGCCUCUAUGCCGAAGACUUGAGGGUAGUGCGCAGCCCGUUUAUAUUGUUUUACCGAUCAAUUGGACAUACCCGCCAGUGUGGGACCUCUACUGAUGGUGAUGAUCAUGUUGAUCUGUCGAUUCCCGUUCGGCACCGGUGCUUGCCAUAGUCUGGCGAUGUACUGAUCCAGCUUCCCUUCACGAAUUAGAUGUUCGACGAUUUUUGUAAAGACCCAAACCUAAAAUUCACAUGUAAUUAGUAAUUUAUUAUGCAGAAAGACAAUUUUGCCCUUUGACUCACUUAUGAACUCAACGUUGACUUUUUGACCGAAAAGGAAUUUGACAAUUCCACAUACACCGUUGUGUAGAGCACGACGAUACGAGUUCAUAGACACGAAGUAAGCUCGAAUCGGAGUUGUAACGAAGAAAAUACGAUUAAAAUAUCACGAAGGGCAAAAUUGUAAAUAAGAAAAUCAGAAUUUUUAUAAAAACCUCAACUUCUCUUUCUCUUUCCCUCUCUCUCUCUCUCCCUCCCGAUAGUUCUAGAAAACCUGUCGGGCAGCCACCUUCCAAGCCACCCCAACGCCACCUCACGCCACCCCGACCCAGCAGCACCGGCCAGCUCCCGCCAUCAACCCCAGCCCGUCCGCCGCCCCUGCUGCUGUCUGGAGCAUCCGGAAACUGCUGGAAAACGCAGCAGUUUUGGCAGAUUUUCCAACCUCAGUUUCUCCCUCAUCCGGCCACCAAAUCAGUCGUGCGAGGUAUCGAUUUCUAGCUAUUUUUCGUGUUCUAACUGCUGGUUGGCUGGGUUUCGAUCAAUUUUUGCUGUAGAUCACUCGAUUUUCAAAUUGAAAUUCGGCCGACUUUCGGCCUCCGUGUUCGGCCAUUUCCGGCCACUUUUUGGGGUAGGUCCAAGAACAAAAGUGACGCCAAAUGGGGUGUUUUACCUAGGAUAGGAGUUUGGAGUCUUGGUUCCGAGAUUUUUCGGCCACUCGGUAUCGCUUUAGACACCCGAAUCUGCCCGCGCGUGCUGGGGCGCGUGGGCGAGGGUGGUGGAGUAACUCUGCCGGGUUUAAUACUGUUGAGCCGUUGGAUCGUAAUCAAUUUUAGAUAUGUUACUCUAGAUAAUUUUAGAAACGUGUAGGAUUCGACGGAUUGUGAAUCGGAGACCCGGAUACUCCGAAAACGCGAACCCUAGGGCUAGGGUUUAGAAAUUACAGGAUUGUGAUCAAUCCGACCGUCCGAUUGACACCAAUACCUUCGGGACAUGUGUCCUAAAUAUAUUGGACCUUCUAGCGGCAUCCGGAUCAUAUUAUACCCGUGGGGUUCCGGAUUGACUUUUUGGACUUUAGCACUUUUUGAGUCACAAGAUACCGCUAAACGAUCCCACGUGGAAGGAAAGCUGUUAUGGGCAUAGGGAUCACUUUAAAUUGACGCACGUACUUUUAGGAGCCGGGGGUAGGGUUUUUAAUUUAAUACUAUAUUGUAUUAAUAGAAUAUUAUGGUCAUUGAAUCAGGCACCCGGGCACCAGUUGACCCGCAGGAGGGACCUUCAAGAGGUCCAGCGAGCUCAGACUAUCAGUGAGUGGACUCUUUGUUUUUAUAAAUGAAUUUAAUCAGUUCAGUUUCAGUUAAGCAGUUCAGUUUCAGUUAUAAGCUGUUUUAUGUUGUUAAAUAUUUUAUGUUACAUGCUGCCGAAUGAAGUUUCCUUUUAAGAAUAUAGGAAAAGAUAUUCUCGUUAAUUAUCAGAUAAAUGGCAGCAGAAUUUUAAAGGUUACAGAAAGUUAAUUAUUCAUAAGAUUUUCUUCAGAAACUUUAUAUUUUCUUAAACCACCUUGUACCCAGUUAUCACAUGUUGCCUUCGGAUUAUAUUUGUUGCCUUCGGUUUAGUCAGCAUGCUUGACAGUUGCCCCACGAGUUCCUUGGUACUCGACCUCGUGUGGAGCGAGUAAUGCGGAUAAAGGUUGAUUGCGGUCUCCUGAAUCCUGCGAGUUGCGGCUCAGACUGACCUCGUGUCACUGAGACCUGCGAGUAUGUGUCACCCAUGGUGAUGCAAGGAAUUGACGGAUAUAAGGAUUUGACGGAAAUAGGUGUACACCUAGGUGAUAGUUUUCAACUAUUUUCAAAUGUAUAGUUAUAUACAUGCAUUGAUUUCAGAAAUAAAGAAAAUAAGCUAGUUUGUAUAACUGUUUUUUCAGUGGGGUUAGUAUGUUCAUAUGGUAUUUUCUAAACUUUGUUUUUGGGUCCACUCACCCUUCUUGUUGUUUUGCGCCCCCAGGCAGUAGACGUGCACAGGAAUCCACCACCGGGCCACUUCCCAUCUUCCGUGCCUUUCUUUGAUGUAGGAUUUGUAUUUUGUACAAAGAUUAACUCUUUUGUAAAUUCUUAGUAGUCGCUCUGAUGUUUUGCCCUAGACUGAGCUUUGAUCUCUUGGCAUGUGUAUAUAUAUGUAUGCUGGCAGUUGGUUAUAUAUAUAUACUUGUUUUGACAGGUGUAAAGAUUUUGGUAUUGAGCCAGAUACAAGGGAAACUCUGCCGGUUUUUCGGUAGAAGUCAACCUUGUUAUUUUUAUCAUGUUUUGUAUAGAAGGGCAAAUAGGUCAUUUGUGCCCGACAUUCGCCAGGUGUCGGACACGCACAGGGUCUGGCUCGGAUUCCAAAGUGGAAUUUGGAUCGGGUCCUGACAAUUUUCCUCAGGCUUAUGCACUCUUCAGUGUCAUGACUGUUGUGCUGGUGGUAUCGGCAGAAUUUGCCGGUAUCCCGAUUGUCCUGUCGAUUGGGCUUUCGACGGUUCGGCUUGGGUAUUAUCUCAUUUUCGUUCAUCAAAACGGCCUCGUAGGUGGUAUUCAGCAGGGUGAAUACUUCCUGACCGUGGUCGUAAUUCGGUAAGGGCGCUCGGUGGUCAUUGUGACCGUAUUGUCCUUUUCCUUUCUUUGAGUGCCCCUGUCGAGCAUCUCGGUCAUCUUUCCAUUUGUUCCCUGUCGAGAAUUCUCCAGUUCUUUUAGGGUUUGGGAGUGCUUCUUCCCGAAGCGCUUAUGCCAGUAGCGCUUAGGACAUAAGCACUUCUACAAAGAAGCAAUUUGUCGUUUGGAUGUCACAUUUAAAAGUGCUUUACACUACAUAAAAGAACUUUUGAUAUUUUGUUAAGUGUUUGGCUGACACAAUAAAAGAGCUUUGAUUUAUCUGGAACUCUCCUAAAUUGUGAGUCUUGUGGACUUAUGAUAUCACUAUCCAUGCGACAAACGACAUCUAAAAUUAUCCCAAACCACCUUGACACCAUCCGCACCAGAAUGUUGAAAUUGGACCAUUCUAUUAGUGAAAGCAUUGAAAAAUGUAAUGCAUUGCCAUAGUGCAACCCAGAACACAGCUUCUUUCUAAAGUCGAUACAAAUUGAGAGGGAGUGCUUGGUGGCACUCUUUUGGGGGUUUUGAGCGCGCAAUGCUUGUCCAAAACACUGCAGCCAACAAAUCAAAAGGGUAGGCUUCAGGGCAAGUUUUUUGGAUUUGUGAGAGGCCUUGCUUGAUCAUUGCACUGGAGAAUUUGAAAGUGGUUGUGCUCAUUUUCUUUUCUGGUAAAGGGGUCUUUGCUGCCAUAGACUUGACUUCAUAAUAAGCCUCUGCUGAUUUUGUUUUUAUUAUGUCUUGAUCAACGGGUCUGCCUCCGAGGGCUGAUGACUCCCCGACGAGAAGCAGGUGGGCAAAUUCAUUUAUCUCCAAAGCCAGGAUUGAUUCUUAUGUUAAUGCUUUUUUAAUCAAGUUUGGUGCUACAUAUAAUAAUGUUUGUUUUCAAUAAAAUCGAGCAGACAAUAUUAUAUAAGCAAGGGGCAUACAAGAAUUCAGAACUCAUCUCCAUUCUCUAGCAAGAAAGAGAGAGGAAAAAAAAGAAAGAAAGGGUAUUUUGGCAUUUAAAAAAAAUUAAAUAAAGGUAUUUUCGGCAUUUUAAAAGUUUCAUUGAAGGGAGCCAAGUGCUUCUUGUGUUUUUGUGCUGCAGCGCUUUUAAGAAGAAGCACCUCUCAAGUGCUUCUUCCAAAACCACUCCAAGUGCUUUUGUAUCUCACCCAAAGCACUUUUGCAAUUUUUGCCAAACACCAUUUUUAAAAGAUAGAAGCACUUUUCGUUGCUCCAAAACAACUCCCAAACGAGCCUAUGAACACAGUCUUCCUAGAGAAUGUCGUUGUACUGUUGGAUAUCAGAGUCACACUACAUCCUACUCGGACGACGGAAGUGUAUGUCUUGCCAUAAGCCUUGGAGAUUAUUGUAAUAAGUUUCAAUCGAGCCACCUGCUUGUCGCAAUCGUUGGCUUUGCCGUUUAAGGUUGUACACUUGAGGGGUGUACGUGCCAUCAAAGUAGAUCAUGGCAAUCGCAUCCCAUAUUGCUUUUGCCGUAGGAAAUCAAAUAAAGGUGCUAAUCAAGCGAGGGUCCAAAGAAUUGAUUAGCCAGUCUUUCACAACUGCGUUUUGGGUACGCCAGCGGUUGAAACUUGGGUUGGUCUAAGUAGGUGUCCCAACUUGUCUUUGCCGGCAACAUACAUCUUGACAACUUGGGACCAAAAGGGGUAGUUGGAGCCAUCCAACUUGAUUCCAAUAUGUGCGGAAGCUUCAUAGGUAAUAGUCAAGGUCGGGUAUACCAUACUAAAAUAUGAGAACCUAUGAGAGAAUAUUGUUUGUGGGAAUUUUCUGUGUAUUCUUCUCCAUAUAAGAGGCCAUAUUUAUAGUACAAUAUAUAUCCUUUGUAGGUUAAGGAACGUAAUAACCCCUAAUUCAAUUUACAGUAGGAAAUCAUGAAUUAAAGUAAAUCAAUUACAUUUAAUAUAGAAAUUUUUGGCGUGUAAGAAAAAUAAAUGCAGGUCCACAAGUCAUGCAAAUAUAUACAACCAUACUAUUUUUCAAAUUUGUAUCAACUUUCUCACAUGGAAGAUGUCUACAACUUUUACAAAUAUUAAUGAGUCUCAUUAGCUACACAAUAUACAGAUAGAAGUUGCACAAAAACAUCGUUUGCAACUAAUUGAUGGCUCUUUCAACGAAAAAGCUUAUAGUUAGAGGGGAAAAGAAACAAAAAAGCUUGCCUUGGACAAAAGUAGAUAGUAAUUUGGUUUGAUAAUGUUAGUGGUGCGGUUGUAAGCUUCCAACCGGACAAUAUAUAAAUUGGGUCGAAACGAAAAUGGAGUACAUAAAACUUAACCCACUUUUAAUCAUUCUCAACAUCACCAUUUAUUUGAUCCACCAAACAAGGCUCCUUCUGUUCCAUUAUUCGAAAUCUCAAACUUGACAUAACCACAAUCAACCCUCAAUAGCAUUCUCUCUCUCUCUCUCUCUCUCUCUCUCUCUCUCUCUCUCUCUCUCUCUCUCUCUCUCUCUGUUCCACCCAAAAACCAUGCCUUGCUAAAUAAGAAUUCAAUAGUGAGGGCCUUAUAUCUAAGGCCCUUAUAUGAUCGCUUAGCUGUUGGAUCAAAUUGGUUAGCUGUUGGAUCAAAUUGGUUAGCCGUUGGAUCAAAUUGGUUAGUUUGAUAUAACGGUUAAGAGAUAUGACCUCGUGGCUUUAAUUUGAGCUGUGGGUCCAAUCAAACAAUAUGGGUAGAAUAUUUUUCAGGUUGUAUUUCAUUCUCCAAAAGAAGGUAUUUAUAGUAUAAGGAUGUAACCCUAGUAGGGUCAAACUAGAAAACAAGAUAAAGACCUAAUUACACAAUAUCUGUACAAAAAGGAAAGAAAUAUAAUCCUAAUAAACUGGAAAAUAAAUAUCCUAAUUAAGCUAGGAUCUCGCUAACACUCCCUCUCAAGUUGGAGCAAAGAUGUCACGUAUGCCCAACUUGUCAAGCGAGUUGAGAAAGACCAUAGUAGACAUAGUUUUCGUAAGAACAUCUGCUAGUUGAUACUCGGAUGAUAUAAACGGAAAAGAAAUAAUUUCCGCAUCCCAUUUCUCUUUAACAAAAUGUCGAUCAACCUCCACGUGCUUUGUACGAUCAUGUUGCAUAGGGUUAUGCGCAAUUGCAAUUGCAGCUUUAUUAUCACAAUACAAAUCCAUGAGUUUGGGGGAAGAGAGAGAGAGAGUGUGUGAUGGUUGUGGGGUGGUGGUUGUGGGAAGGUGAGUUGUUGAGAGAGAGAUGGAGACUGCGAUGGAUAAAAGGGUGGUCGUGGGUUUGGGGGUGUGUUGUGAAAGGGAAGGCAGCGACGGUGGGGAAGGGGGAUGGGUUGCGAAUUAGUCUUGGGGGUGAGUUGCAGGUGGGGAAGGGGUGAGUUGCAGGUGGGAAAUGGGUAGUCAGGUUGGGGAAGAAAAAGAGAGAGGGGAUAGGGAAUCUGUUGGUAGGAUAGGUUUUUGUUUUUGUUCCUUUUUCUUUAAUUUUUUUCUAAAAAAAUUAAUUUAUUUUUAAUAUUUUAACUGAAAAUUAGAUGAAAUGUUGAUGAUUUAGACGGUAGGGGGAAAUUGGUGAAAAAGUUCAUAUCCUUAAUUUUGUAAAAAAAAAAAAAAGGAUAGUGGGUCAAUUAAAACCAAGGUACAAGUUCAAGGGGCAAAUCACUAGUACACCCUUCUUAAUACAAUACCCUAUAAAAUGUCAAAUUUACCCUUAUAUUUGACGGGCAUUUGGAUGGAAUUGUAAAAAAGCUAACAGCAGGGGUGAAAUUGGCGAAUAAAUUUAAUACAAGGGCUAAAUUGGCUGAAAAAUUAAUUCAGGGUGGAGAUUUCGACAAGCAUAAUAAUUCAGGGGGGAUUCGAAAGUUUACCCUUAAAAAAAGUUAAAAAUUUGCCCUGAACAUUUGUUAUCUACUAUCAUCUACAUUUUUUAUGCACGACAUAUUAAUGAUUCUUUCUUCUUUGUAGAUGUGGAUUGGGACAAAACAAUGUGCCCAUAACCUUGCAAUAUGAAUCUUCUUUGGAUAUUUGUUUAACCAAAUUUACUAAAUUAGCCUCUUUAUUUAAUUAUUUCUCUUCCCAAAUAUUUAGUACAUUGUAAAUGUUGUUUGUGAAUGCGAGCGUAUAUCUUGACAUCUUAGUAACUUUUUGAGUAUGCUAUCGAUUUUAGGCUAUAAAUAUUGCUUGGAAAGAAGCAUGCGCAUCCACAACUCCGAACAUGGUUGUGAUAGCAAAAGGAAACUACCUGGCUGGUCCAGUGACGUUUCAAGGGCCCUGCAAAGGGCCAGUUAGCGUUCGAGUUAAAGGAACCCUGCAGGCUCUUGCAGAGCCAGAAAAGCUCAAGUCACAAGAUGGUUGGGUCGUUUUCCAAAAUAUUGAUGGGUUAACAGUCUCAGGAGGUGGCACUUUUGAUGGCCAAGGAUCAAUAGCUUAAUCCAAAAAUGAUUAUGCCAAAACUGGAAAAUGCAACUCACUGCCAAUAUUAAGUUUUUUUAAAUUUGAAGUGCACGUUUUUAUUUAUUUAUCAAUCUUGUGUGCUAGAAACGGAGGCUAACAAAUAGAGUUUGCUCAAUUGGGUUCCUUGAAUGCAGAACAUAAGAUUCACAGGGCUCACCAAUUCACACAUUCAAGACGUAACAUCCUUGAACAGCAAGCUGUUUCACAUAAACGUCAUAAAUUGCAAAAAUGUGACACUUCAACAUGUGAUCAUCACCACCCCUGGUAAAGCAUGCCUUAGAUAAGGCCCUCACUCACUCCUUAUAAACCCAGGCUAGGUCCCUUAACUUUUCAAUGUGAAUAUAAAACGAAUUUUCAAUAGUUAUUUCUCUUGUCACGACUGCUUUGUUACAAAUUAUGGUCAAGAAUUUAUUAGUUUGAUUAGUGCUUUAGGAAACAAUUUUUGGUUUAUGAAAAAUAAAUUUUGUGUGUGUAUUUUUGUUAAUCUUUGCACCAAAUUGGAUGAUAACAGGUUUAGUACUUUUGGUCUAUGAGUCACCCAUGUCAUAAAUCCUCUCUUUCUAAUCUAACAUAGUCUUGGAAGAAAAAAGUUUUUGUCCAAAUUGGAAACUGAGUGAAGAGCCAUUGUAGGUAAUUCAUGUUCUAAAGCGGAGCAGCUUAAUUAAUUACUAAUUAUAGGAUUAUUUUAGGACUCAAGGACCGGCCAAAAACUAGUCCACGCGCGGCCACACUCACCGGCAGCGCGUGGGUGUCCAAAGUGAUUCCGGCAAUCGGAAAAUCUCCAAACCGCCGGUCAAGACUUAUACCUACAUGAUCUGCACAUAGAGUGGAGCAACUUUUGAUCAUGGACCUACCCCCAAAAAGUCGACGGAAGCGGCCCGAAUCGGAGGCCAAAAUCCGGCCAAACUUCCAUCACUUAUUUACGUCUCAAAACGCAGAAAUUUCUCGUAACCAAUACAACCAGCAGCUAGAACACCUCGAGAGGUUGAGAAAGCAUACCUGGAUCGACGGAAAUGGUGGCCGGAAACGUUCAAACGAGCGUCAGAAAAUUCUCAUAAAAACCUCCCAGUUUUCUGGUUUUUUUCGGCCAAAACCGGAGGCUGGGCUGGGGCGGGGCUGGAAGAGGAAGAUGUUGCGGUCCUUUUGGGACCAGUACCGCCCCAAGUGGUGGCUCUAGAUGCCACUGGCUGGGAAGAAAAAUCCAAGAGGGGGGGGGGGGUGGUUGUUCUGUAUCACGAAAACAGAGAGGAGAGAGAGAAAGAGAGAGAGAGAGAGAGAGAGAGAGAGAGAGUGUGUGUGUGUGUGUGUGUGUGUGUGUGUGUGUGAUAUCAGAUUUUUAAAAUACCCUUUUUCGAAAAAUGUAUGAUUUUGCCACUAUAUUUUUCAUCGUAACUUCUUUGUUACAACUCAGAUUUGAGUCCACUACGUGUCUACGGACUCAUCUCGACAUGCUCUACGCAAAAGUAUAAUUGAAAUCCCCAGAUUCCCUCCCAAACAAAAAGUCAACUUUAAAUCAUUAAAAUAUUUCAGGGGUAAAAUUAUCUUCUAUUUGAAUAAAUUAAUAAUUAAAAAUUAAUUUGGGAUCGGGUUGUUACAUGCUACAUAAGAAUUCUAUAGUGAGGGCCUUCUUCUAAGGCCCUUAGAUGAUCUCUUAACUGUUAGAUUAAAUUGGUUAGCCAUUGAAUCAAAUUGGUUAGUUUGAUCCAACGGUUAAGAGAUAUGACCUCAUAGCUUUAAUUUGAGCUGCGAAUCCUACCCUGGAAACAUAACUUGAGCUGCGAUCUGAUUCCAUCAUUAAAUAAAUGACGGAUAUGAAUAUUUGUCCAUCUGUAAUAGAAAUUACAUUAGUAGGAAUGUAAAACGAAACAUCUCCCGAUUGGGUCUCAACUAUUGGUAAAGCAUGCCUUAGAUAAGGCCCUCACUCACUCCUUAUAAACCCAGCAUGGCCCCUUAACUUUUCAAUGUGAAUAUAAAACGAAUUUCCAAUAGUUAUUUCUCUUGUCACGACUGCUUUGUUACAAAUUAUGGUCAAGAAUUUAUUAGUUUGAUUAGUGCGUUCGGAAACAAUUUUUGGUUUAUGAAAAACGAAUUUUGUGUGUGUAUUUUUUUUGUUAAUCUUUGCACCCAAUUGGAUGAUAACAGGUUUAGUACUUUUGGUUUAUGAGUCACCCAUGUCAUAAAUCUUCUCUUUCUAAUCUGACAUAGUCUUGGAAGAAAAAAUCUUUUGCCCAAAUUGGAAACUGAGCGAAGAGCCAUUGUAGGUAAUUCAUGUUCUAAAGCUGAGCAGCUUAAUUAAUUACUAAUUAUUGGAUGGUUGACCUACAUUCAACUUCUUAAUUGGCCAAAUAAAUAUUAACGGUGUUGAGCUUUCCGAUGGGAGUAUAAAUUGGGCUGAAAGCAAUGGAGUUUCAUCAUACUCCAAACAAAAAGGAAAUAACAAAGUCUCAAGAUGGGUUUGAAACUGAAAAAUGUCUUGCCAAUGUUUGUGUUCUUGUUGUUAGCAUCCACAGCUAAAGCUCAAUCUGCUGCCUUAGAUGUGACAAGUGAAAAAUAUGGUGGAAAGCCAGACUCUGAUAUUACCCAGGUAACAAAAACAUUUGUAUUCAUAUUCGGUUCUGAUUAGAAUUUGUUUCUACAAUUGUUUGCCAAACAAAAUCGUUAACAGUUUUAAAUUUGCGUAAUGUUAAUUAGGCUUUAGAGAAGGCUUGGACAGAUGCAUGUGCAUCAACAGCACCAAGUAAAAUUGUUGUUCCAAAGGGAACAUUCAAGUUUGUAGGAACAACUUUUAAAGGUCCUUGCAAGGCUGCUAUUGAGUUUCAGCUCCAAGGAACAUUGCAGGCUCCAGUAGAUGGCAGCCAGCUCCCGAAGGACGACACUUGGAUUGGUUUCGACAACGUCGACGGGCUCACCUUGUCAGGUGGUGGAACUUUUGAUGGCCAAGGAGCACAGUCUUGGAAAAACAAUGAUUGCAACAAAAAUAGACAAUGCAAAUCUAAACACAUUGUAAGAUGAUUUAAUCCUACCAUGUUGUUUUAUAUACUUGAAAAUCUUCUUGUGUCACAUAGGAGCAUUUGCGAAAUCAUGCUCAUUGAUCAAUUCUUGACUUGAUGAUACGUGAUCCAGAUUCACAGCCUGACAAUAUAAACAUAUUUCAUUUGUUUUCUUAAUAUAUGCAGAAUUUGAGGUUCCACUUACUCACCAAUUCCAAAAUUUUGGACGUAACUUCAAAAGAUAGCAAAAAUUUCCACGUCAAUCUUUUGAAGUGCGAGAAAGUUGAAUUCAACGGAUUUACCGUCUCAGCACCUAAGGAAAGCAUGAACACAGAUGGAAUUCACAUCGGUCGUUCAACUGGGAUCAACAUCACUGCCACAACCAUCGGAACUGGGGAUGAUUGUAUUUCGAUCGGUGACGGUACCAAGGACCUCACCGUGACCAACGUUACUUGCGGGCCAGGCCACGGCAUAGCCAUCGGGAGCCUUGGAAGGUACCCAGAGGAAGAACCCGUGUCCGGCAUCAAUAUUAAGAAAUGCACCUUGACUGAUACAACGAAUGGUGUGAGGAUCAAAACAUGGCCUGCUUCCCCAAAAGAUAGCACUGCCUCGGAUAUUCACUUUGAGGAUAUUACCAUGGUUAAUGUUGGUAACCCUAUCCUCAUUGACCAAGAGUACUGCCCAUGGAACGAAUGCAAAAAAGGGGUAUCUAUCUAUAACAAUUUACUAACACCAUAUAUAUGUUCCUUGUUAAUCAAGUCAUCAUUUACUUAAUCUUUAAAAGGAUUUAAAUUAAUCAAUUAAUUAAUGAAUGGUUUUGUGUAGGUUCCUUCCAAAGUUAAGAUCAGCAAUGUUAGCUUCAAGAACAUCAAGGGCACAUGUACCGACCCAGUUGCUGUGAAGCUUGCAUGCAGCCCAGGCCUGCCAUGUGAGAAUGUGGAAUUGAGUGACAUUGAUCUCAAGUACACUGGAGACAAAGGUCCUAUUACCUCUGUGUGUUCUAAUGUCAAGCCGACAAUUACUCGCGUGGCACAGCCUCUUGCUUGCGCUACCAGCGCUGCUGCUCCUGCUUCUGCUUGAUCUAACAAGCACAAACCAUGCUGCUGAUGUUUC